RNAcentral lists this small RNA (289 nucleotides) under Chinchilla lanigera (long-tailed chinchilla). RNAcentral's name for it is "7SK RNA (ENSCLAG00000022189.1)". It matches the Rfam family "7SK RNA", at positions 1 to 254 of the family's 331-position model. Rfam says of the family: 7SK was discovered as an abundant small nuclear RNA in the mid-70s but a possible function has only recently been suggested. Two independent studies have found that 7SK RNA binds the CDK9/cyclin T complex (known as elongation factor P-TEFb). P-TEFb activates transcription by phosphorylating the C-terminal domain of RNA polymerase II. Lineage: Eukaryota; Metazoa; Chordata; Mammalia; Rodentia; Chinchillidae. The record is from Rfam by way of RNAcentral.
GGACGUGAGGGUGAUUGGGCUGCGACAUCUGCCACCCCACUGAUCGCCAGCGUUGACUGGACUGAUCUGGCGGGCUAGGUGGGGGUCCCUUUCUUCUCUCGCUGCUCCAUGUGUGUUCCUCCAGAAGCUGGGUGCCAGUGAAGAGGACGACCUGCCCUGAUAGAGCAGGACGAGUCCUGUGGUCAAGAUUGUACGAGCAGCUCUGCGUCCCUGCUAGAACCUCCGAAUGGGCUCUCAAGACCACGGUCCUAUCUUGACCUAUUCCAUCAUCCUUGGGCAGUCUAUUGGA